GACGAACGCUGGCGGCGUGCUUAACACAUGCAAGUCGAACGGAAAGGCCCUGCUCUUGUGGGGUGCACGAGUGGCGAACGGGUGAGUAACACGUGAGUAACCUGUCCUUGAAUUUGGGAUAACUUCAGGAAACUGGGGCUCUUACCGGAUAGGAGCUCCUGCUGCAUGGGGGGGGAUGGAAAGAUUCGGCGGUUGGGGAUGGAAUGGCGGCUUAUCAGCUUGAUGGUGUGGUAGUGGCUUACCAAGGCUUUGACGGGUAGCCGGCCUGGGAGGGUGACCGGCGACAUUGGGACUGAGGGACGGCCCAGACUCGUACGGGACGCAGCAGGGGGGAAUAUUGCAGAAUGGGCGGAAGCCAGAUGCAGCAGCGCCGCGUGCGGGAUGACGGCCUACGAGUGGUAAACAGAUUUGGCCGGUGACGAAGCGUGAGUGACGGUAAUGGGUAAGGAAGCACCGGCUAACUACGUG
Molecule: ribosomal RNA, 468 nt
Filed under: uncultured bacterium
Lineage: Bacteria
Description: partial 16S ribosomal RNA
Rfam family: Bacterial small subunit ribosomal RNA
Source: RNAcentral